UUCCCUCCAAAGUUUUCCUUAGGUUAGCUGGAGUUCCUACAGACAUGCAGUAUAAUCCAGCAAAACAAAUUAUUUAGGAGCCUUGGGGCCAAAAUGAUCUCAAACUAUUCUCAAAUUUUAAAUGGGUAAAACCUCUGAGUUGCUGACAUGGAGCCAGGGUCACUUUUAGUAAGCAGAACUGGCACUGUGGGAUGAACUGAAUGCCAGGCUAAGGCUUUAAAUGCUGAAGCUGAUUAGACUCCAGUAAAGAUAUUAGUUGAUAUACACAGCAAGACAGGAGUCAAAAAAGUAAAGAGUCUGUUAUCACCUAACCAUGAAAAUAAAUGGCACUAAAACAUCAAUUCCAUACACGAGUGUGGCUGGCAAUGAACAUGAAAGUAGGAAUGGAAAGGGCCUGCCACCUCAACUGCCCAGAUCCCACUCCACACUGAUGCUACACAGCAGUGAGUAGAAGGGCCCCGACGUUGAGUUCUCAAGAUGAGGAUGUGAGGCUGGGUAAAGCUGCUGCAGGUG
This 513-nucleotide non-coding RNA is filed under the name Pteropus alecto (black flying fox). Its description in RNAcentral is "Eukaryotic large subunit ribosomal RNA". It matches the Rfam family "Eukaryotic large subunit ribosomal RNA", at positions 955 to 1444 of the family's 3401-position model. Lineage: Eukaryota; Metazoa; Chordata; Mammalia; Chiroptera; Pteropodidae. The record is from Rfam by way of RNAcentral.